RNAcentral lists this ribosomal RNA (301 nucleotides) under uncultured bacterium. RNAcentral's name for it is "partial 16S ribosomal RNA". It matches the Rfam family "Bacterial small subunit ribosomal RNA", at positions 509 to 809 of the family's 1533-position model. The record is from RNAcentral.
CAGCCGCCACGGUAAUACGUAGGGUGCGAGCGUUAAUCGGAAUUACUGGGCGUAAAGCGUGCGCAGGCGGUGAUGUAAGACCGAUGUGAAAUCCCCCGGCUUAACCUGGGAACUGCAUUGGUGACUGCAUUGCUAGAGUAUGGCAGAGGGGGGUGGAAUUCCACGUGUAGCAGCGAAAUGCGUAGAGAUGUGGAGGAACACCGAUGGCGAAGGCAGCCCCCUGGGCCAAUACUGACGCUCAUGCACGAAAGCGUGGGGAGCAAACAGGAUUAGAUACCCCUGUAGUCCCUGUCUCUUAUAA